GGUGUAUUUGCAUCUAAGAUUACUCCAGCAAAGGAUGGGAAGCCAGUCACUAUAGAGCUUAUAGAUGCAAAGACUAAGGAACUUAAAGAUACUCUAGAGGUAGAUGCAGCAUUGAUUGCAACUGGAAGGGCCCCAUUCACCAACGGUCUUGGAUUAGAGAAUAUCAAUGUGGCCACACAACGCGGUUUCAUUCCUGUUGAUGAGCGCAUGAGAG
This 214-nucleotide unclassified non-coding RNA is filed under the name Hevea brasiliensis (rubber tree). Lineage: Eukaryota; Viridiplantae; Streptophyta; Magnoliopsida; Malpighiales; Euphorbiaceae. The record is from RNAcentral.